RNAcentral lists this ribosomal RNA (616 nucleotides) under uncultured bacterium. Its description in RNAcentral is "bacterial SSU rRNA". It matches the Rfam family "Bacterial small subunit ribosomal RNA", at positions 335 to 944 of the family's 1533-position model. The record is from RNAcentral.
ACUCCUACGGGAGGCAGCAGUGGGGAAUUUUGGACAAUGGGCGAAAGCCUGAUCCAGCAAUGCCGCGUGAGUGAAGAAGGCCUUCGGGUUGUAAAGCUCUUUUGUCAGGGAAGAAACGGUGAGAGCUAAUAUCUCUUGCUAAUGACGGUACCUGAAGAAUAAGCACCGGCUAACUACGUGCCAGCAGCCGCGGUAAUACGUAGGGUGCAAGCGUUAAUCGGAAUUACUGGGCGUAAACCGUGCGCAGGCGGUUUUGUAAGUCUGAUGUGAAAUCCCCGGGCUCAACCUGGGAAUUGCAUUGGAGACUGCAAGGCUAGAAUCUGGCAGAGGGGGGUAGAAUUCCACGUGUAGCAGUGAAAUGCGUAGAUAUGUGGAGGAACACCGAUGGCGAAGGCAGCCCCCUGGGUCAAGAUUGACGCUCAUGCACGAAAGCGUGGGGAGCAAACAGGAUUAGAUACCCUGGUAGUCCACGCCCUAAACGAUGUCUACUAGUUGUCGGGUCUUAAUUGACUUGGUAACGCAGCUAACGCGUGAAGUAGACCGCCUGGGGAGUACGGUCGCAAGAUUAAAACUCAAAGGAAUUGACGGGGACCCCCACAAGCGGUGGAGCAUGUGG